AGGGAUGUAGCUCAUUGGUAAAGCAUUUGCCUAGCAUAAGCAAAGCUCUGAGUUUGAUCCUCAGCAACCCAA
This 72-nucleotide transfer RNA is filed under the name Cavia porcellus (domestic guinea pig). It matches the Rfam family "tRNA". Rfam says of the family: Transfer RNA (tRNA) molecules are approximately 80 nucleotides in length. Their secondary structure includes four short double-helical elements and three loops (D, anti-codon, and T loops). Further hydrogen bonds mediate the characteristic L-shaped molecular structure. tRNAs have two regions of fundamental functional importance: the anti-codon, which is responsible for specific mRNA codon recognition, and the 3' end, to which the tRNAs corresponding amino acid is attached (by aminoacyl-tRNA synthetases). tRNAs cope with the degeneracy of the genetic code in two manners: having more than one tRNA (with a specific anti-codon) for a particular amino acid; and 'wobble' base-pairing, i.e. permitting non-standard base-pairing at the 3rd anti-codon position. Lineage: Eukaryota; Metazoa; Chordata; Mammalia; Rodentia; Caviidae. The record is from Rfam by way of RNAcentral.